UUUAAGUGCAAUCAUAAAUUUUUACGUCCAACUUUGAUCAUCCGUUUUAUUUGAAUUUUUUUAUUUAGUAUUUUUAUUAUUAUGAGAUGAUAAUACAUGAAUUAUGUAACUCAUGUUUUUAAUUUGUCCAGAAAUUUUUCAAAUAAAACGAACAGUAAAAAUUGUGCACGGAAAAUCAUGGUUGUACUUCAA
Non-coding RNA from Oryza glaberrima (African rice), 192 nucleotides. The record is from Rfam. Lineage: Eukaryota; Viridiplantae; Streptophyta; Magnoliopsida; Poales; Poaceae.